RNA transcript from Bombus terrestris (buff-tailed bumblebee), 3307 nucleotides. It is a transcript of the gene named protein SON, with no coding region annotated. The transcript has 10 exons. NCBI's taxonomy places the organism in Eukaryota, Metazoa, Arthropoda, Insecta, Hymenoptera, Apidae. The record is from RefSeq and is a predicted model, not a curated record.
GAAAAAUAAAAUAAUUAUAUUACUCUUAGGAUAAUGUAUCUCUAUUUAUUUAUGGAAGAUACAUAAAAUGUUUUCUUUCUACAUAGUUUUAGAUAUUUAGAUGUCGCUGUGAUUGUUAAAAUGGCGACUAAUGGUUCAAUGCGAUAGUAUGAUAUAAAUGAAAUGAUAGAAUGUGAUGGAUGCUAAUAUCUUAAAUCAAUACAGAUUUAAAUAUUUGUGUUCUUUGUAAUUCAUUACAAUGAAUUGAUAUCAGCAAUGGGAGAUCUGUUUGAUAUUGCAAAUUUAAUUACAACUGUCGGUGUUGAUAGAAUAAAAAUUAAGCCGGAGCCCGGACUGCCAGAAAAAUCUUCAAAUGAAAUUCUAACAGAGUUGUUUAGCACAUUUGAUGCUGAAGAAGAAAUAGUAUCAUCAGAAAAUACUGAUCAGCAAGUUCCAAAUGCAAGUGUUAAAAUUGAGAAACCUAUUAAAUUUCAGGUCAAGAAAAAAAAAACUAAGAGGAAACAUAAGCACAAAGAUAAAAAACAUAAAAAAAAGUCAAAGCGUAAUUCUUCUGAGAGUAACAGUGAUCUUGAAAAUAUUAAAAAGAAAAGAAAGCAUAGAAAGAAAACAAAACGGAGACAUGAAGAUGAUUCAAGUAAGUCGUCAGAUUCAGAUGAACCCAAAAGUAAAAUAUCAAAACUUGAUAUAUGCAACGAUAUGAAAAAGAAAGGUUAUAAUAAAGAUAAUGGACUAGGAAAAGAAGAUGUAGAUGGAUCAGAAAGUUUGGAGAAAUUAAUAAUUAAAAAAAAUCCAAAAUUAGAAAAUGUGUUUACAAAGGAACCCGAUAGUCCUCAAUUGCCACCUAUUUCAAAAAAAAUUGAAGAUGAUCCUGAAGAACAAUUAAUAUCUAAAGUUCUUGAAAAACCAAAGCAAGGGCAUCAAGGGAAAAUAUUGAUAAAAGAUCUUAAAAAUAGUAUAGUUUACAAUGAUACAGUUAGAGAAAUAGAAAAUAAGGAAAAGGAAAAGGCAGCUCGAAUGGAAGAUGGUGAAUUAUCUGAUAGUAGUACAGAUAAUAGAACUCCAACAUUAAGUCCCAGUCCAAUUCGUUGUACUUCAUUUAGAUCAUCAACUUUGAGUCCAACUUUAGAAAAGGUAGAAAACAGAGUCCCAUUGAGUCCUGUAAAAGGAGAAGUAACAGCAAGAAAUGAUUUAAGAUUAAUUUUGAGGGAGAAAGAAAAGAAAAGAUUAGGAGAUGUGGAUAAAAGAUCAGAAGGAAUAGAAAAAUCAAAAUUGUAUAUGGAUAAUGAAUACAAAGAAAAAGCGUAUAAUUAUAACAGCAAAAUUACAAUAAACAAAGAUAGCAAGCACGCUCAUAAUUGCCAUUCUCAAGAGAGAAGAAGAUCUGAAUCUCGUACACGUGUGAGUUUACGUAGAAGUAAAAGCAGAGAAAGGGAUAAACGAAGAGAUAAAAGUAGAGAUAGAUACAACAAAAGUCGAAAUAGUGAUCAACGAGAAUUUUUGAAAUGUAGAGAGCGACGAAGACAUAGAAGCCGCAGUGAUGAUAGAAGCAGAGAUAAAUAUGUACGAGGACGAAGUAGAAGUAGAGAACGAAAGGAACGGAUUGAAAUUGAUAAAAAGAAAUUGUUAGAAAUAGCAAGAAGAAAUGCAAUAAACAUGAUUAAACAAGGUACAUUACCAUUGGUACAACAAGAUAAAGCUAUUGCUGCAAUACAAGCUGGAGGGAAAACGGUGGAUGAACUCACAGAUUUCUGCAAAUCAUUAUCAAAAUCUGAGGCAUUAGGAGAACUUUCAAGUAUCUCUUCAGAAGAAGAUGGAAGUGAAUCUGAAAAAGGUUUUCAUCAUCCUUUUUUACUAAAGGGUCGACCUAGUUCUAUUAUCAUGAAUAUUAAGGAUGCAAAGCAAUUACCAACCAAAACAUUCCAAGAAAAAACAAUAGAAUCAUCAAAUCAAUUACGUUUACAAUUUCCUGUAUCAAGUGGACAACAUCAUAGAAAAAGUGAAAAUGAAUGGAUACCAGUCACCCCAAAGAAGCCAGAAACGAAAAAACAAUUUAUGCCAGCUACUGUCCCAACUGAAUCUUUUCCUAUAACACCUUCAACUACAUCUAUAUAUCCAGUGCAAUCGGCAGUUUUUUCUCACUCGAUAGCAGCAGAGCCAAUAGAUAUUGGUUCAAUAGUAUCUCAAAGAUUAGCAGCAAUGAGAAAAUUAAGAGAAAAUCCAAAUGAUGUAUGUGCUCAAAAUGAAAUGUAUAGAGCACAAAAUGAGAUGAAAACAUGGGCUGAGAGUAAACAAAUGCCAGGUCAAUUUACUGGGAGUACAGGAGCCAAAGUACUUUCACCUGCAGAGCUUACUUCAGGUUAUCAAGCCUGGGCUCGUAAGGUAACACUAUUACUAGAUAAUUUAUCUUGUUAUUUGUUGUUCUAUAUAUAUAUAUAUAUCCAUAGUAUAUAUAUAUAUACUAUGGAAAACUAUUUUAAGCAAUUCUGGUAGGAAUAAUCUAACUAAAUACAUAUUUGUAACCUAAUUUAUAAUUUAUAGUACUAAUAAGAUGAUAAAUAUGAACAUUAAGACAUAUAUUGACACUGUUGUGUUAUAUAUAUGUACAUAAUACAAUUUCAUUUUUUUUCGUUCCAUAUCUUUUUUUUUCUUUUCUUUCUUUUUUUUUAACAAUGCAUUACCUGAUACUGAUAUUGCCUGUAACAAGUUUUCAGGUACAGUCUCUAUCAAGAUCAAUGCUAUAUUCUGAUAUAUAGCAGAUCUGAUAAGAACUGUAAUGUAGGCACAGACUAUUUCUUACGUAGAAGUAGAUUCUGUGCCUGCAUGGACACAGGAGCGCCAUUAUUUUAUAGAUUUUUGUGUUGUAUGAUUAGACUAUAUAAUUAAUAUAAUUAUACUUUACAUUUAGUAUUUAAGAAAAUAAAUUGUAGGUGUACUUAAAACAAAGAUAAGUGUAUAGAAAUAUUGAUUACAUGAAAUUCUUUUAUAUAAUGGGCUCUUGUUAGAUUAUUGCUAAUUAUCAUCAGCUUCCUAUCACAGGAUUUCAUCUGGAGUUACUGUAUCUUUUGUUUAUAAAGCUGGGAUAUUUAGCAUUAGUCUGCAUCCACCUGAGGGUUUGUUACAGGCACAUAGCUACAUCAGAGAAGAAACAACUUCAGCGGCGUGAUGACAAAUUUUGAUUUUUUUGGACCAAUUAGUAUCAGCACAGCCUGUUUCGGGUGGGAUGGGUAUGGCUUUACUACAGAAGAUGGGUUGGCGACCAGGGGAGGGUUUGGGAAAAAAUAAAGAAGGUACUCUUGAGCCCUUGCAG